RNAcentral lists this transfer RNA (63 nucleotides) under Podarcis lilfordi (Lilford's wall lizard). RNAcentral's name for it is "tRNA.Ile". The record is from RNAcentral. Lineage: Eukaryota; Metazoa; Chordata; Lepidosauria; Squamata; Lacertidae.
CAGCUCGGUUGGUUAGAGCGUGGAGCUGAUCACGGCAAGGUUACGGGUUUGAUCCCCGUAUGG